RNAcentral lists this ribosomal RNA (433 nucleotides) under uncultured bacterium. RNAcentral describes it as "partial 16S ribosomal RNA". It matches the Rfam family "Bacterial small subunit ribosomal RNA", at positions 29 to 507 of the family's 1533-position model. The record is from RNAcentral.
AACGAACGCUGGCGGCAUGCCUAACACAUGCAAGUCGAACGAGACCUUCGGGUCUAGUGGCGCACGGGUGCGUAACGCGUGGGAACCUGCCCUUAGGUUCGGAAUAACUCCCCGUAAGGGGUGCUAAUACCGGUUAAUGUCUUCCGACCAAAGAUUUAUCGCCUUUGGAUGGGCCCGCGUUGGAUUAGCUAGUUGGUAGGGUAAAAGCCUACCAAGGCGACGAUCCAUAGCCGGUCUGAGAGGAUGAUCAGCCACACUGGGACUGAGACACGGCCCAGACUCCUACGGGAGGCAGCAGUGGGGAAUAUUGGACAAUGGGCGAAAGCCUGAUCCAGCAAUGCCGCGUGAGUGAUGAAGGCGUUAGGGUUGUAAAGCUCUUUUACCCGGGAUGAUAAUGACAGUACCGGGAGAAUAAGCUCCGGCUAACUCCGUG